Molecule: ribosomal RNA, 519 nt
Filed under: Archilina sp. 214386006
Lineage: Eukaryota; Metazoa; Platyhelminthes; Proseriata; Monocelididae
Description: SSU rRNA
Rfam family: Eukaryotic small subunit ribosomal RNA
Source: RNAcentral
ACAGUGAAACCGCGAAUGGCUCAUUAAAUCAGCUAUGGUUCCUUAGAUCAUUUCAUCCUACUUGGAUAACUGUAGUAAUUCUAGAGCUAAUACAUGCCUCGAAGUCACGACCUAACGGGAGUGAUGCACUUAUUAGAUCAAAACCAACCGGGCUUCGGCUCGCUGGCUUGAUGACUCUGGAUAACUUUCUACAGAUCGCACGGCCUUUGCGCUGGCGAUAGAUCUUUCAAAUGUCUGCCCUAUCAACUUACGAUGGUAGGUAACCUGCCUACCAUGGUUAUAACGGGUAACGGGGAAUCAGGGUUCGAUUCCGGAGAGGGAGCCUGAGAAACAGCUACCACAUCCAAGGAAGGCAGCAGGCGCGCAAAUUACCCACUCCCGGCACGGGGAGGUAGUGACGAAAAAUAACGAUACGGGACUCAAUCGAGGCCCCGUAAUUGGAAUGAGUACACUUUAAAUCCUUUAACGAGGACCCAUUGGAGGGCAAGUCUGGUGCCAGCAGCCGCGGUAAUCCCAGCU